This 253-nucleotide ribosomal RNA is filed under the name uncultured bacterium. RNAcentral describes it as "partial 16S ribosomal RNA". It matches the Rfam family "Bacterial small subunit ribosomal RNA", at positions 524 to 776 of the family's 1533-position model. The record is from RNAcentral.
UACAGAGGGUGCGAGCGUUAAUCGGAAUUACUGGGCGUAAAGGGCGCGUAGGCGGUUAUAUAAGUUGAAUGUGAAAUCCCUGGGCUUAACCUAGGAACUGCAUGCAAGACUGUAUGACUAGAGUGCUGUAGAGGGUAGUGGAAUUUCCGGUGUAGCGGUGAAAUGCGUAGAUAUCGGAAGGAACACCAGUGGCGAAGGCGGCUACCUGGACAGACACUGACGCUGAGGCGCGAGAGCGUGGGGAGCAAACAGG